This 359-nucleotide unclassified non-coding RNA is filed under the name Hevea brasiliensis (rubber tree). The record is from RNAcentral. Lineage: Eukaryota; Viridiplantae; Streptophyta; Magnoliopsida; Malpighiales; Euphorbiaceae.
AAAAAAAAAAAAAGGAAAGAUAACUUUGGUUUAUACUUUAGAGAUUGUUGAGAAUUAUGGACCCAAGACUGUGAGUAUCAAACUGGCAAGCUAUACAUUGAAUUAGGUUUGAGACUAGGCUUCCCAUCACUAAAAUAACUUUGGUUUGCCAACACUUAUUUAUCCUUUAAUUUUCUUAUACAUUAUUGAUGUGGACUUUUUCCCACAAGUGGUAUUCCAACACUCCCCUUCAAGUUGCAAUCAAGACAUCCGAUUGACACUUAAAACUUGAAACUGAAAUACUGCGGCAACACCGGGAUAUUGAACUGAAACUAAAACUGGACCCUAACCUGCCUUAAUACCAUGUUGAGAAUUAUAGA